Molecule: transfer RNA, 113 nt
Filed under: Colletotrichum chlorophyti
Lineage: Eukaryota; Fungi; Ascomycota; Sordariomycetes; Glomerellales; Glomerellaceae
Rfam family: tRNA
About the family: Transfer RNA (tRNA) molecules are approximately 80 nucleotides in length. Their secondary structure includes four short double-helical elements and three loops (D, anti-codon, and T loops).
Source: Rfam by way of RNAcentral
GGUCUGGUGGUGUAGUUGGUUAUCACGUCAGUCUAACAGUGCGAUUCGUAACCCUCUUGGGGUCCGUCGCCUGGUCACACUGAAGGUCUCCGGUUCAAGUCCGGGCUAGAUCA